This 218-nucleotide unclassified non-coding RNA is filed under the name uncultured fungus. RNAcentral's name for it is "sequence contains ITS1". Lineage: Eukaryota; Fungi. The record is from RNAcentral.
GUUCAAGUGGUUGAGUUUGUUAAACUUGGACAAGUUUGGUUGAUACGAUACCCGUGCAACAGAGCCACACGAGCACCUCACUAGUCGCGAGAGUCUUAGUGAAAAGACCACCACUAGUUCUGCGCUGCAGAGAGCAACCUAAGUUACCCCAGCUCUCGAGAGAGCUCGUUGAACAGAGUCAACUGGUAAUGAUCCUUCCGCAGGUUCACCUACGGAAA